AUUGAACGCUGGCGGCAGGCCUAACACAUGCAAGUCGAGCGGAUGAAGGGGGCUUGCUCCUGGAUUCAGCGGCGGACGGGGGAGGAAUGCCUAGGAAUCUGCCUGGUAGGGGGGGAUAACGUCCGGGAACGGGCGCUAAUACCGCAUACGUCCUGAGGGAGAAAGUGGGGGAUCUUCGGACCUCACGCUAUCAGAUGAGCCUAGGUCGGAUUAGCUAGUUGGUGGGGUAAAGGCCUACCAAGGCGACGAUCCGUAACUGGUCUGAGAGGAUGAUCAGUCACACUGGAACUGAGACACGGUCCAGACUCCUACGGGAGGCAGCAGUGGGGAAUAUUGGACAAUGGGCGAAAGCCUGAUCCAGCCAUGCCGCGUGUGUGAAGAAGGUCUUCGGAUUGUAAAGCACUUUAAGUUGGGAGGAAGGGCAGUAAGUUAAUACCUUGCUGUUUUGACGUUACCAACAGAAUAAGCACCGGCUAACUUCGUG
RNAcentral lists this ribosomal RNA (484 nucleotides) under uncultured bacterium. RNAcentral describes it as "partial 16S ribosomal RNA". It matches the Rfam family "Bacterial small subunit ribosomal RNA", at positions 30 to 507 of the family's 1533-position model. The record is from RNAcentral.